GCUUACGGCCAUACCGUCCUGAAAACGCCUGAUCUGGUUUGAUCUUGGAAGCUAAGCAGAGUUGGGACUGGUUAGUAUUUGGAUGGGAGACCGCCUGGGAAUACCAAGGGCCUUUUGGG
RNAcentral lists this ribosomal RNA (119 nucleotides) under Cyprinodon variegatus (sheepshead minnow). The record is from RNAcentral. Lineage: Eukaryota; Metazoa; Chordata; Actinopteri; Cyprinodontiformes; Cyprinodontidae.